Molecule: ribosomal RNA, 2929 nt
Filed under: Escherichia coli
Lineage: Bacteria; Pseudomonadati; Pseudomonadota; Gammaproteobacteria; Enterobacterales; Enterobacteriaceae
Description: bacterial LSU rRNA
Rfam family: Bacterial large subunit ribosomal RNA
Source: RNAcentral
GGGUUGUGAGGUUAAGCGACUAAGCGUACACGGUGGAUGCCCUGGCAGUCAGAGGCGAUGAAGGACGUGCUAAUCUGCGAUAAGCGUCGGUAAGGUGAUAUGAACCGUUAUAACCGGCGAUUUCCGAAUGGGGAAACCCAGUGUGAUUCGUCACACUAUCAUUAACUGAAUCCAUAGGUUAAUGAGGCGAACCGGGGGAACUGAAACAUCUAAGUACCCCGAGGAAAAGAAAUCAACCGAGAUUCCCCCAGUAGCGGCGAGCGAACGGGGAGGAGCCCAGAGCCUGAAUCAGUGUGUGUGUUAGUGGAAGCGUCUGGAAAGGCGCGCGAUACAGGGUGACAGCCCCGUACACAAAAAUGCACAUGCUGUGAGCUCGAUGAGUAGGGCGGGACACGUGGUAUCCUGUCUGAAUAUGGGGGGACCAUCCUCCAAGGCUAAAUACUCCUGACUGACCGAUAGUGAACCAGUACCGUGAGGGAAAGGCGAAAAGAACCCCGGCGAGGGGAGUGAAAAAGAACCUGAAACCGUGUACGUACAAGCAGUGGGAGCCUCUUUAUGGGGUGACUGCGUACCUUUUGUAUAAUGGGUCAGCGACUUAUAUUCUGUAGCAAGGUUAACCGAAUAGGGGAGCCGAAGGGAAACCGAGUCUUAACUGGGCGUUAAGUUGCAGGGUAUAGACCCGAAACCCGGUGAUCUAGCCAUGGGCAGGUUGAAGGUUGGGUAACACUAACUGGAGGACCGAACCGACUAAUGUUGAAAAAUUAGCGGAUGACUUGUGGCUGGGGGUGAAAGGCCAAUCAAACCGGGAGAUAGCUGGUUCUCCCCGAAAGCUAUUUAGGUAGCGCCUCGUGAAUUCAUCUCCGGGGGUAGAGCACUGUUUCGGCAAGGGGGUCAUCCCGACUUACCAACCCGAUGCAAACUGCGAAUACCGGAGAAUGUUAUCACGGGAGACACACGGCGGGUGCUAACGUCCGUCGUGAAGAGGGAAACAACCCAGACCGCCAGCUAAGGUCCCAAAGUCAUGGUUAAGUGGGAAACGAUGUGGGAAGGCCCAGACAGCCAGGAUGUUGGCUUAGAAGCAGCCAUCAUUUAAAGAAAGCGUAAUAGCUCACUGGUCGAGUCGGCCUGCGCGGAAGAUGUAACGGGGCUAAACCAUGCACCGAAGCUGCGGCAGCGACACUAAGUGUUGUUGGGUAGGGGAGCGUUCUGUAAGCCUGUGAAGGUGUACUGUGAGGUAUGCUGGAGGUAUCAGAAGUGCGAAUGCUGACAUAAGUAACGAUAAAGCGGGUGAAAAGCCCGCUCGCCGGAAGACCAAGGGUUCCUGUCCAACGUUAAUCGGGGCAGGGUGAGUCGACCCCUAAGGCGAGGCCGAAAGGCGUAGUCGAUGGGAAACAGGUUAAUAUUCCUGUACUUGGUGUUACUGCGAAGGGGGGACGGAGAAGGCUAUGUUGGCCGGGCGACGGUUGUCCCGGUUUAAGCGUGUAGGCUGGUUUUCCAGGCAAAUCCGGAAAAUCAAGGCUGAGGCGUGAUGACGAGGCACUACGGUGCUGAAGCAACAAAUGCCCUGCUUCCAGGAAAAGCCUCUAAGCAUCAGGUAACAUCAAAUCGUACCCCAAACCGACACAGGUGGUCAGGUAGAGAAUACCAAGGCGCUUGAGAGAACUCGGGUGAAGGAACUAGGCAAAAUGGUGCCGUAACUUCGGGAGAAGGCACGCUGAUAUGUAGGUGAAGCGACUUGCUCGUGGAGCUGAAAUCAGUCGAAGAUACCAGCUGGCUGCAACUGUUUAUUAAAAACACAGCACUGUGCAAACACGAAAGUGGACGUAUACGGUGUGACGCCUGCCCGGUGCCGGAAGGUUAAUUGAUGGGGUUAGCGCAAGCGAAGCUCUUGAUCGAAGCCCCGGUAAACGGCGGCCGUAACUAUAACGGUCCUAAGGUAGCGAAAUUCCUUGUCGGGUAAGUUCCGACCUGCACGAAUGGCGUAAUGAUGGCCAGGCUGUCUCCACCCGAGACUCAGUGAAAUUGAACUCGCUGUGAAGAUGCAGUGUACCCGCGGCAAGACGGAAAGACCCCGUGAACCUUUACUAUAGCUUGACACUGAACAUUGAGCCUUGAUGUGUAGGAUAGGUGGGAGGCUUUGAAGUGUGGACGCCAGUCUGCAUGGAGCCGACCUUGAAAUACCACCCUUUAAUGUUUGAUGUUCUAACGUUGGCCCCUGAUCGGGGUUGCGGACAGUGUCUGGUGGGUAGUUUGACUGGGGCGGUCUCCUCCUAAAGAGUAACGGAGGAGCACGAAGGUUGGCUAAUCCUGGUCGGACAUCAGGAGGUUAGUGCAAUGGCAUAAGCCAGCUUGACUGCGAGCGUGACGGCGCGAGCAGGUGCGAAAGCAGGUCAUAGUGAUCCGGUGGUUCUGAAUGGAAGGGCCAUCGCUCAACGGAUAAAAGGUACUCCGGGGAUAACAGGCUGAUACCGCCCAAGAGUUCAUAUCGACGGCGGUGUUUGGCACCUCGAUGUCGGCUCAUCACAUCCUGGGGCUGAAGUAGGUCCCAAGGGUAUGGCUGUUCGCCAUUUAAAGUGGUACGCGAGCUGGGUUUAGAACGUCGUGAGACAGUUCGGUCCCUAUCUGCCGUGGGCGCUGGAGAACUGAGGGGGGCUGCUCCUAGUACGAGAGGACCGGAGUGGACGCAUCACUGGUGUUCGGGUUGUCAUGCCAAUGGCACUGCCCGGUAGCUAAAUGCGGAAGAGAUAAGUGCUGAAAGCAUCUAAGCACGAAACUUGCCCCGAGAUGAGUUCUCCCUGACUCCUUGAGAGUCCUGAAGGAACGUUGAAGACGACGACGUUGAUAGGCCGGGUGUGUAAGCGCAGCGAUGCGUUGAGCUAACCGGUACUAAUGAACCGUGAGGCUUAACCUUACAACGCCGAAGGUGUUU